GAAUCAGAUAUUUAGGGAAAGAAUAUAUAUUUUACAAAACAAACUAACGAAGAAUUGAACAGAUCAAUAGUGCUUAAAUAAGAAAUAUGCAUAAAUACCAGAAAUACAGCCUUUGAAAAAUGUCUGAAACUCGGAAACACGCCUUCGAUCACAAUAAAUUAAUUUCUUUGGUCGGUGGGAGAAGUAAAUCCUGAUCGGUGAUGGUUGGAAAGAGAGAGGGAAAAAAGGGAGGGAAAAGGGGAGAAAGUGGGGGAAAAUUUGAAGGUCCGAUGAUGAGUGGAAAAGGAUCGGGACGCCCCCUGGAUUGAUAAACAGGACGCCCCUUGCGGCUUCACAAGACACUAUUGGGACUUUCAGAAAUAGGGGUUCCAUCACGUGAUUCAUGAGCGC
RNAcentral lists this long non-coding RNA (390 nucleotides) under Vitis vinifera (wine grape). Its description in RNAcentral is "long non-coding RNA (VVIN_LNC008050)". Lineage: Eukaryota; Viridiplantae; Streptophyta; Magnoliopsida; Vitales; Vitaceae. The record is from RNAcentral.